This 748-nucleotide ribosomal RNA is filed under the name uncultured Providencia sp. RNAcentral describes it as "bacterial SSU rRNA". It matches the Rfam family "Bacterial small subunit ribosomal RNA", at positions 751 to 1502 of the family's 1533-position model. The record is from RNAcentral. Lineage: Bacteria; Pseudomonadati; Pseudomonadota; Gammaproteobacteria; Enterobacterales; Morganellaceae.
GUGCGAAGCGUGGGGAGCAAACAGGAUUAGAUACCUGGUAGUCACGCUGUAAACGAUGUCGAUUUGGAGGUUGUUCCCUUGAGGAGUGGCUUCCGGAGCUAACGCGUUAAAUCGACCGCUGGGGAGUACGGCCGCAAGGUUAAAACUCAAAUGAAUUGACGGGGGCCCGCACAAGCGGUGGAGCAUGUGGUUUAAUUCGAUGCAACGCGAAGAACCUUACCUACUCUUGACAUCCAGAGAAUUUAGCAGAGAUGCUUUAGUGCCUUCGGGAACUCUGAGACAGGUGCUGCAUGGCUGUCGUCAGCUCGUGUUGUGAAAUGUUGGGUUAAGUCCCGCAACGAGCGCAACCCUUAUCCUUUGUUGCCAGCACAUUAUGGUGGGAACUCAAAGGAGACUGCCGGUGAUAAACCGGAGGAAGGUGGGGAUGACGUCAAGUCAUCAUGGCCCUUACGAGUAGGGCUACACACGUGCUACAAUGGCGUAUACAAAGAGAAGCGACCUCGCGAGAGCAAGCGGAACUCAUAAAGUACGUCGUAGUCCGGAUUGGAGUCUGCAACUCGACUCCAUGAAGUCGGAAUCGCUAGUAAUCGUAGAUCAGAAUGCUACGGUGAAUACGUUCCCGGGCCUUGUACACACCGCCCGUCACACCAUGGGAGUGGGUUGCAAAAGAAGUAGGUAGCUUAACCUUCGGGAGGGCGCUUACCACUUUGUGAUUCAUGACUGGGGUGAAGUCGUAACAAGGUAACCA